GUGCCAGCCGCCGCGGUAAUACGUAGGGGGCGAGCGUUGUCCGGAAUCAUUGGGCGUAAAGAGCGUGUAGGCGUCCCGAUAAGUCCGCUGUGAAAGUCCAAGGCUCAACCUUGGAAAGCCGGUGGAUACUGUCGGGCUAGAGUCCGGAAGAGGCGAGUGGAAUUCCUGGUGUAGCGGUGAAAUGCGCGGAUAUCAGGAGGAACACCUAUAGCGAAGGCAGCUCGCUGGGACGGUACUGACGCUGAGACGCGAAAGCGUGGGGAGCAAACAGGAUUAGAUACCCUCGUAGUCC
Molecule: ribosomal RNA, 292 nt
Filed under: uncultured bacterium
Lineage: Bacteria
Description: partial 16S ribosomal RNA
Rfam family: Bacterial small subunit ribosomal RNA
Source: RNAcentral